Molecule: ribosomal RNA, 465 nt
Filed under: Vreelandella stevensii
Lineage: Bacteria; Pseudomonadati; Pseudomonadota; Gammaproteobacteria; Oceanospirillales; Halomonadaceae
Description: partial 16S ribosomal RNA
Rfam family: Bacterial small subunit ribosomal RNA
Source: RNAcentral
CCUACGGGAGGCAGCAGUGGGGAAUAUUGGACAAUGGGGGGAACCCUGAUCCAGCCAUGCCGCGUGUGUGAAGAAGGCCCUCGGGUUGUAAAGCACUUUCAGUGAGGAAGAACGCCUGGUGGUUAAUACCCAUCAGGAAAGACAUCACUCACAGAAGAAGCACCGGCUAACUCCGUGCCAGCAGCCGCGGUAAUACGGAGGGUGCGAGUGUUAAUCGGAAUUACUGGGCGUAAAGCGCGCGUAGGUGGCUUGAUAAGCCGGUUGUGAAAGCCCCGGGCUCAACCUGGGAACGGCAUCCGGAACUGUCAAGCUAGAGUGCAGGAGAGGAAGGUAGAAUUCCCGGUGUAGCGGUGAAAUGCGUAGAGAUCGGGAGGAAUACCAGUGGCGAAGGCGGCCUUCUGGACUGACACUGACACUGAGGUGCGAAAGCGUGGGUAGCAAACAGGAUUAGAUACCCGAGUAGUC